This 253-nucleotide ribosomal RNA is filed under the name uncultured bacterium. Its description in RNAcentral is "partial 16S ribosomal RNA". It matches the Rfam family "Bacterial small subunit ribosomal RNA", at positions 524 to 776 of the family's 1533-position model. The record is from RNAcentral.
UACGAAGGGGACUAGCGUUGUUCGGAAUCACUGGGCGUAAAGCGCACGUAGGCGGAUGUGUCAGUCAGGGGUGAAAUCCCGGGGCUCCACCUCGGAACUGCCUUUGAUACAGCACGUCUCGAGUCCGGAAGAGGUGGGUGGAAUUCCUAGUGUAGAGGUGAAAUUCGUAGAUAUUAGGAAGAACACCGGUGGCGAAGGCGGCCCACUGGUCCGGUACUGACGCUGAGGUGCGAAAGCGUGGGGAGCAAACAGG